Molecule: long non-coding RNA, 513 nt
Filed under: Aedes aegypti (yellow fever mosquito)
Lineage: Eukaryota; Metazoa; Arthropoda; Insecta; Diptera; Culicidae
Description: lncRNA AAEL023809
Source: RNAcentral
UCCAAGAGCUGCUGAGAUUCAAAACCCACGGACCAAGAUCAAAUGCGUGCGCUCAUUAUAUUCCAAUCAAGGCAUGCAUUGAAUCAUGCGCCUUGUAUGGGCGGAUUGAAUCCCAGGAUUCGAUCCUUGAUUGAAGAGAGUUAUUAAAAUAAAUCAAGUAGACCUUGAUAAUUUAAUAGAAAAAAUAUCUGUGACAGGACACACGUUUCACGAAGUCGUAUUUCUCUAUGAUUUUAUUGUUUUUAUGUCCACGUUUUCCCCUUAAAACAUUUCGAUUCAUGUUUGGUAAAUUAGUUUAUCGAAUCAAAUACAAAUCAAUUAAAACUCUUGGAGCUUCAGAUUCGGAUUUGCAGUGCAGUUGGCAUCCUACAUUAUCUGAAGCCUAUGCUUGACGCAAAAAGAACUGAACUACCAUCAGACCUCUGAAAUUGAUGCAUUUAUGAAUGAAUGGAAUUAUUUGCUCUGUUGAAAUUUUAUUAUAAAUAAAAAAAUGUGAAAGCGUUGUAGAAAUAA